AUUACCGCGGCUGCUGGCACGGAGUUAGCCGGGGUUUCUUUACCAGAUACUGUCAUUAUCAUCUCUGGCGAAAGAGCUUUACGACCCUAAGGCCUUCGUCACUCACGCGGCAUGGCUAGAUCAGGCUUGCGCCCAUUGUCUAAGAUUCCCCACUGCUGCCUCCCGUAGG
RNAcentral lists this ribosomal RNA (169 nucleotides) under uncultured marine alpha proteobacterium MBE12. RNAcentral describes it as "partial 16S ribosomal RNA". The record is from RNAcentral. Lineage: Bacteria; Pseudomonadati; Pseudomonadota; Alphaproteobacteria.